AUCGAACGCUGGCGGCAGGCCUAACACAUGCAAGUCGAGCGGAUGAAGGGAGCUCGCGCCUGGAUUCAGCGGCGGACGGGCGGGUAAUGCCUAGGAGGCUGCCUGGUACAGGGGGAUAACGUACGGAAACGGGCGCUAAUACCUCACACGUCUUGUGUUCGAAACAGGGGGUUUUUCGGACUUCAGGCCGUCAGGCGAGCCUAGGUCGGAUUAGCUAGUUGGUGGGGCAAAGGCCUACCAAGGCGUCGGUCCGUAACGGGUCUGAGAGGGUGAACAGGCACACUGUCACUGAGACACGGUCCAGAGUCCUACGGGAGGCAGCAGUGGGGAAUAUUAGACGAGGGAGGAGAGCCUGAUCCAGCAAAGCCGGGUAAGUGCUGAAGGUCUUCGGAUUGGAAAAGGAUUAAGGUUGGGGGGUAGUACAGUAAGUUAAUACGUUACUGUUUUGACGUUACCAUAUGAAUAAGCACCGGCUAACUACGUG
This 484-nucleotide ribosomal RNA is filed under the name uncultured bacterium. RNAcentral describes it as "partial 16S ribosomal RNA". It matches the Rfam family "Bacterial small subunit ribosomal RNA", at positions 30 to 507 of the family's 1533-position model. The record is from RNAcentral.